RNAcentral lists this long non-coding RNA (467 nucleotides) under Rattus norvegicus (Norway rat). RNAcentral describes it as "long non-coding RNA NONRATT001531". The record is from RNAcentral. Lineage: Eukaryota; Metazoa; Chordata; Mammalia; Rodentia; Muridae.
GCUCACCAUUUGCAAAGUCUAAAAGCAAACUGAGCACCGUGAGACUGAGCCCGUGUCUUCUGAUCAUUCUGACUGUUUGUUGCUAUGAAACUAAUGCUGGCAAUGUCUGUGAUGCUGUUUUGGGCCUUCGUUCUAGGAAGUAAGGAAAACCUGAGGAAGGAACUUGAGCAAUAUUCUGUCCCUGCCGAGGCUGUUAAAGCAAAACUGGAGGUGAAGCGAUGUGUAGACCAGAUGGAUGUACGUUUCACUUAGAUGUGAGAAAGGAUGGCUGGCAGAAGAUAUUUUUGAUAUUCCAGGGGAAAGUAUUUGAACUAAUUUUCCCUGCUUAAUGUGAAGGUUUCAAUGUCUUGUACUAAUAAAUUACACUCCGUGCAUGCAACCAUUUGUCUUUUGUUAUCCUCAGUAUUGUGUCUUGCAUGGAUUAGGUUUUGAUAAUAAAUUUGCACUUUCCCUUUUUUGAUACUUAU